CUGAGGGGGCUCAGCUGAGAAAGCCAACAGCUUCACUGCCACUGCCAGGCUGGACUCACUAGAUCCAGGCUGCUGUCAGUUAAAGAGGCAAUCCCAUUAGUGGGAGAACACAGGCCUAGGGCCCUACUAGCCUGAGGAUAAGGUCAUGGUGGGUCAAGCAAGAGACCAGAUCAGCCAGGAGUUCACAGGGAGUUCUGGGAGGUGAGACAGCUCUCCAUGGAUAUCCCAGGCUAACCAGAGAUUCUGCACACACAUCAGAGAUGCCAGAGUGGAUUCACAUGCCUCUCCCCCAACAUCCCUUGCUGGCAUUGGCACACACAAAGAUGUGAGGGGGGCCAGCUGAAAGUAAAAGGCAAGGCAGACACAAUAAUUGCCUGAAAUGUGAAUGUCCUCCCUGGCCCUACAUGAAUCCACCAGCAGAGAGCAAAAGCUCUACUGACUGUGUCAACAUCUGAUUAGUCUUUGGCUGAACACAAAAUUAUGUCGCAACAAGGGUAACCACUGGGAAGCUAGGCUUAAAAGUAACAACAACAACAAAAAGAGACAAAAAACAAGUUGAACAAGAGACAUCAGCAGCCAAGCAAUAUGGGAGAGACAGCCUUCACAGACUGACUCUGGGAAAGUUACUAAACAAACAACAGAAAUGACAAUUCUUGAGCAGACAAGAAUCAGAAUCCAGAGUUGCUACAAACUAUUGCCUGAAAUGUAAGAAGGUCUACAAAAAACUUGGAGACAUGAAAAUAAACAAGAGAGCAUGACCCAUACUCAGGAGGGAAAAAAGCAGUCAAUAGAAACUAUCCCUAGAAUUCCCAAAUGUUGGAAUUUACAGGACAAGACUUCAGACACACACACACACAUCGGAAGAACUGAAGGAAAUCAUGUUCAAAGAAUUAAAGUAUGACAAUAACUCAACAAAUAGAGAAUCUCAACAAGAGAUAGAAAUUGCAAAAAAGAGCCAAAUGGAAACUGGAUUGGUAAGUACAAUAAAUGGAAAGAAAAAUCUACUAGAGGGACUCAACAGCAAAUGUGAACUGGCAUAAGAAAAAACUGGGACAACUGAGAAUAGCUCAAAGGAAAUUAACCAACCUGAGGAACAAAGAAAUAAGAUCAAAGAAAAAUAAACAGAACCUCCGAGACCUGUGAAACAACAUCUAGCUUACCAACAUAUAUGUAAGGGGAGAAGAGAAAAGGGUGGAAAAAAAUAUGUGAAGAAACAAUGGCCUAAAAUGUCCCCAAUUUGAUAAAAAAGACAAACUCACUGAUCUCCAUAUCUAAGAACUCCAAACAGGAUAAACACAAUGAGAUCCAAAUCUAAACUCAGUGCUCAAGCUGCAGAAAGCCAAAAACAAAGAGGAAAAACUUGAAAACGGCACGCAAAAACCAACCCAUCAUGCAGAGAAACACCUGACUUCUCAUCAGAAACAAUUGAGGACCAAGGGCAAUGGGAUAUGCAGAGUGCUGGGAGGAAGGGGAGCUACCAGCCAAGAAUUCUACAACCAGAAAACUCUCUUCAAAACUGAACGAGAAAAAAAAGACACCCCAUGACCUUUUGAAAAGAUAAAUUUAUUGACAGAAGAUAUGCCUUACAAAAAUGCUACAUGAAUGAGUUCCUUUGUGGCUCAGUUAGUGACCCGGCAUUGUCACUGCUGUGGCUCGGGUUGCUGCUGUGGCACAGGUUCAGUCUCUGGCCCGGGAACUUCUACACGCUGUGUGCACAGCCAAAAAAAAGAAAAAAAAAAAUGCUAUAUGAAGUCCCUUAGGUUGAAUGGAAAUGUCAGACAACAACUCAAAUCCACAGGAAGAAAUGAAGACCACAGGAAAUGGUAAAUAUAAGACCAUUCAUUUUUUUCUCUCAUUUCGUCUCUUAAAUUCUUUAAAGAACGUGAGGUGGUAUUAAAGCCACAACUUAACACUACAUAGCUGUGUUUAUAACACAUAGGGAUCAAACAUAUAUGACAAUAAUUGCAAAGGGACAAACUGGAACAAAGUUUCCAUAUUUUACCAGAGUUUAGUUAGCAUUAUUCUCAGGUACACAGGGAAACAGGGAGGGAUAUAUUAUAAUCUCUAGAACAACGACUAAGAAAAUAACUCGAAAGAAUAGUGAGAACAACAAUAAAAGCAACAGAGAAAUCAAAAUUACAUAAUAAAAAACAUGUUACACAAAGAAGAGAGUCAUACACAGAAAAACAAAAGUAUACGGCACGUAGAAAAGAGCAAGGUGGUGGAUGUAAAUUCAACGAACAAUAAUAACUACAUUCAGGUGCAUGGAAUAAACACACUCCAAAGACAAACACUCCGAUUGGAUAAAAAAGCAGUUACAACAACAUGCUCUCCGUAAGAGACAUAUCUUAGGUUCCAAAAGACAAAGGUUCAAAGGAAACAGAGAGGGAGAGACAGGCUAUAUGUAUGCAACUAGCAACCCUAAGAGAGCUGGAAUCAGUGAUAAUCAUAUGAGGUAAAACAUGUGAACAACUAACUUGACCUAAAUGACGUUUAUAAAAACGCCAGCUAACUGCAAACCUGGACAUGAGGGCUUACAGCAACAGAAUUCACAGUGGCCAAAAGACAAAAAUCACCCAAAUGUGUUCACCAACUGGUGGCUGGAUAAACCAAAUGUGAUACAGUCAUACAACAGAACAGUACUUGGCCAUAGAAGGUAACAGAAGAACAGAUACACGCUACAGUGCAGAUGAGUCUCUAACCCAUCAUGCCAGCUCAAAGAAGCCAGACAUACAAGUUUCUAAACCGUAUGAACCCAUUACAGGAAAUGCCCAGAAAAGGGAACUGUAACGAGCCGGAAAGCAGACCAGGAGCUGCCUGGGGCCAGGAAUGGGAGCGAGGACUGACAAUGAACAGCUCAGGGAAAUCUGGGGGUUGGGAUGGACAUGUUCUAAAACUGAAUUGUGGUACAGGUUGCACAACUCUAUAAAAGCACCAAAUAUCACCGAACUGUACACCCACAGUGGGCGAAUUUUAUUGCAUAUAAAUUACAUCUUAAUAAAGCUGUAAAAAUAAGUCCCAUGUAGUGGUUAAACUGAGGCGAUACAAACUGCUGUCGAGAGACGGACCCAGGCACUCUUUCUAUGAAGGAGCACGCCACCAGAUACAAACCUGAUGCAAAGUCUAGCUUGUCCAACAUGAACCUGGGAAUGCUAGGCGUGUAACUCACCACUUACACCGCAUUAAUUCCAUCAAAACCAAACCCAUCGACUUAAACUGUCAACAUGUAAAAGGCCAAACAAUGCAUUUAACUGCUGGGUCACAGCUGCACAUCCGCUUUUGCCUGUUAACUGAAUAUCACCUACACGUUCACACGUCACUGUCUGCACAGCUGUCUGAACUUGCAUGGGUAAACCAUUACGGUCUUUAUCCAUCUUCAACUAUCAAUUUCCUGGGAGACGGGCAGGGCUGGUGACUCCACAGUGUGUCCUACGCAUCACAGCAGGGCCCAGAGACCUCGAGCCAGAGGCUUCUGGGUCACAGUCUGACCCCGCAGGCUCUUCCUUUCACUGCGAAAGGCAAGCGGGUCACCAGUUCCUGAUUCUCCCACCAGGUUGGAGGCGCGCCCUAGCAUCAGCAUGCAGCGGAGCAGAGGCUAGCGUCCCAAUGUGUCACGUGUGUGGGGAGUUCCAGGGCUUUCAAAGCACUUCUCCAACUUUGCAAAGGGCUGUUGUGGACUCGAUGGAGCCCACCCUUAACACACAUUAUGCAAACUUAAGCAAAAUCAAGUAAAAUGAAACCAGACCACAAAUCUGUCAUUUCUUCUACUCGCUCUCAUCCCACUGCCCCCAAAGUACAGAAGCAAAGAACGACUCGGAGAUUUAAAAAGUCUUGCAGGAAACGCUGAGCAUUCAGACACACCAGAUCUAUUUAAUCACGUUCGCAAACACCCAGGCACAAAGCACCAGGCCUCGCGUGCAGGUCCAGGCAUCACUCGGCCGCCUGGCCCGUCCCAGGUCCCGCUCCGGGCGCGGCCCUCCCUCCCCAGCGUGCAGAGCACUGGAAAUCACGGCUUCCGAUGUCUUCUCCGACUGUGAGUUAAAUACGGAGGCGCCUCGUGGGGACGGUGGUCCAUCCGACAGAGCAGCUGGCUCCCAAGGGCCCAGGCCUUUUUUGGGGAGACCCCCGAUCUUGGCAUCAGAACAUUAAAAACAAACUGAAUUUUUCUGGCAAGACCAAGUCCACCUCUAAGGCUCUCCCUUCACCCUAGAACAAGCAAAGAGACCCCCUUCCCAGCAAAUGGGAGGCAGCAGCCCCUCACAGGUACACGCACAGCUGCUCCAAGGUCCCGAGUCACCAACGGCAGUGCCACAGCACGACGGGCCAUUCUCACUCCCAAACAGAAGAGAUCUAUAAAUAAGGAAUCGACCUCUCCCCUACUUCGCAGUCAGGGCUCAGCAAACGUUCUUCUGCAAAGUGUUAGAUGGGAAACAGUCUCGGCCUUGUGGGCCGCAGGUGACUCCGCGCCUCGGCUGCUGUGGCAGGAAAGCAGAUGGACAACACGGAAAUGAAUGGGCAUGGCUCUGGUCCAGUGAAACCUUUCUAAAAACAGGUGGAAGCCUGGAGCUGACCACCGGGCUGUAGCUUGCUGACCCCUGCCUAGAAUAACAGCCCUUUAGAGCCAAAAAGGAAACGAUAGCUCAACACCACCCUGUCCCCAACUCCUGCCGACUCCCAAGCCUCGUUCUCAAUGAAGAAACUCAAUUCAAGGUAUUUGCUCAAGGUCAAUACUUUUUGCUGGUUCGUUCUUAUGCAUGAAGAUAAAAAUAUUAUGAAGAGAGAGAGAGAUUCUUUUAACCUAUCAUCCUAUUCCCUGGCUAUCAACACAUCACACCGACCUAGGUGGAGGUGAUUUUGGUUUUGUUUUUUAAAUUCAUUUUAAUUUUUUUUUUUUGUCUUUUGUCCUUUUUUAGGGCCGCACCCGCGGCAUAUGGAGGUUCCCAGGCUAGGGAUCAAAUCAGAACUA
This 4966-nucleotide long non-coding RNA is filed under the name Sus scrofa (pig). RNAcentral's name for it is "lncRNA (ENSSSCG00005000501.1)". Lineage: Eukaryota; Metazoa; Chordata; Mammalia; Artiodactyla; Suidae. The record is from RNAcentral.